GAUCCUGGCUCAGGAUGAACGCUAGCGACAGGCCUAACACAUGCAAGUCGAGGGGCAGCGGGGAGGUAGCAAUACCUUUGCCGGCGACCGGCGCACGGGUGAGUAACACGUAUGCAAUCCACCUGUAACAGGGGGAUAACCCGGAGAAAUCCGGACUAAUACCCCAUAAUAUGGGCGCUCCGCAUGGAGAGUUCAUUAAAGAGAGCAAUUUUGGUUACAGACGAGCAUGCGCUCCACUUAG
Molecule: ribosomal RNA, 241 nt
Filed under: uncultured bacterium
Lineage: Bacteria
Description: partial 16S ribosomal RNA
Rfam family: Bacterial small subunit ribosomal RNA
Source: RNAcentral